RNAcentral lists this ribosomal RNA (233 nucleotides) under Escherichia coli. RNAcentral describes it as "partial 16S ribosomal RNA". It matches the Rfam family "Bacterial small subunit ribosomal RNA", at positions 108 to 344 of the family's 1533-position model. The record is from RNAcentral. Lineage: Bacteria; Pseudomonadati; Pseudomonadota; Gammaproteobacteria; Enterobacterales; Enterobacteriaceae.
GAGUAAUGUCUGGGAAACUGCCUGAUGGAGGGGGAUAACUACUGGAAACGGUAGCUAAUACCGCAUAAUGUCGCAAGACCAAAGAGGGGGAUCUUCGGGCCUCUUGCCAUCGGAUGUGCCCAGAUGGGAUUAGCUUGUUGGUGGGGUAACGGCUCACCAAGGCGACGAUCCCUAGCUGGUCUGAGAGGAUGACCAGCCACACUGGAACUGAGACACGGUCCAGACUCCUACGG